GCUUACUUAUUUUAUUUUUAUUGUCAUAAAUAAUGUGUGUGCGUGUGUGUAACUGCGGGGCAACUGGGGUUUAUAAUUAGACUUCCCCCACAGACACACACACUUUAGGCCCCGCCCCCUGUCACUGAGGGUUGAAGGUCAUUCGUGACUCUUAAAGGAGCAGUGCACCGUUUUCUCCUCGUACGUUUAGAUUAUAGCCAGUUAUGUUCCCAGCAACAUCUUUACUAACAGAACUUACGGCUCCUGAUGGUCGCAUGCCUUUGAAGGUCCUGGACCCCUGUAGGUCUAUUAGUCUUGGACCCUAGAAGGUCUAAAUGUCUUUAUCCCGUGAGGGUUUCAUAAUCCUGGUCCUCUGAUGGGCUAGUUGUCUCUGGCCCCUGAAGGUCUAGUUGUCUCUGGGGUCUAGUUGUCUCUGGCCCCUGAAGGUCUAGUUGUCUCUGGGGUCUAGUUGUCUCUGGCCUCUGAAGGUCUA
This is a long non-coding RNA of Gasterosteus aculeatus aculeatus (three-spined stickleback), 472 nucleotides long. The record is from Ensembl. NCBI's taxonomy places the organism in Eukaryota, Metazoa, Chordata, Actinopteri, Perciformes, Gasterosteidae.